GGUGAUUAGCUCAGCUGGGAGAGCGUCUGCCUUACAAGCAGAAUGUCGGCGGUUCGAUCCCGUCAUCACCCACCA
Molecule: transfer RNA, 75 nt
Filed under: Pseudomonas sp. DP16D-R1
Lineage: Bacteria; Pseudomonadati; Pseudomonadota; Gammaproteobacteria; Pseudomonadales; Pseudomonadaceae
Description: tRNA-Val
Rfam family: tRNA
About the family: Transfer RNA (tRNA) molecules are approximately 80 nucleotides in length.
Source: RNAcentral